AAGGUAGUAGUUUAAUUAAAACAUUAAGUUGCAAUCUUAAAGAUUCCUUCUACCUUU
Molecule: transfer RNA, 57 nt
Filed under: Hermissenda emurai
Lineage: Eukaryota; Metazoa; Mollusca; Gastropoda; Nudibranchia; Glaucidae
Description: tRNA-Cys
Source: RNAcentral